UACGGAGGGUGCGAGCGUUGUCCGGAAUCACUGGGCGUAAAGGGCGCGUAGGCGGCCUGAUAAGUAGGGGGUGAAAUCCUGCGGCUUAACCGCAGGGCUGCCUUCUAAACUGUCAGGCUCGAGCACAGUAGAGGCAGGUGGAAUUCCCGGUGUAGCGGUGGAAUGCGUAGAGAUCGGGAGGAAUACCAGUGGCGAAAGCGGCACCCUAGCCUUAGCCUGACGCUCAUGUGCGAAAGCGUGGGGAGCGAACGGG
Molecule: ribosomal RNA, 253 nt
Filed under: uncultured bacterium
Lineage: Bacteria
Description: partial 16S ribosomal RNA
Rfam family: Bacterial small subunit ribosomal RNA
Source: RNAcentral